UGGGGAAUAUUGCACAAUGGGCGCAAGCCUGAUGCAGCAACGCCGCGUGAGGGACGACGGCCUUCGGGUUGUAAACCUCUUUUAGUAGGGAAGAAGCGAAAGUGACGGUACCUGCAGAAAAAGCACCGGCUAACUACGUGCCAGCAGCCGCGGUAAUACGUAGGGUGCGAGCGUUGUCCGGAAUUAUUGGGCGUAAAGAGCUCGUAGGCGGUCUGUCGCGUCUGCUGUGAAAACCCGAGGCUCAACCUCGGGCCCUGCAGUGGGUACGGGCAGACUAGAGUGCGGUAGGGGAGAAUGGAAUUCCUGGUGUAGCGGUGGAAUGCGCAGAUAUCAGGAGGAACACCGAUGGCGAAGGCAGUUCUCUGGGCCGUAACUGACGCUGAGGAGCGAAAGCGUGGGGAGCGAACAGGAUUAGAUACCCUGGUAGUCCACGCCGUAAACGUU
RNAcentral lists this ribosomal RNA (444 nucleotides) under uncultured bacterium. RNAcentral's name for it is "partial 16S ribosomal RNA". It matches the Rfam family "Bacterial small subunit ribosomal RNA", at positions 355 to 810 of the family's 1533-position model. The record is from RNAcentral.